RNAcentral lists this long non-coding RNA (2139 nucleotides) under Gallus gallus (chicken). Its description in RNAcentral is "lncRNA (ENSGALG00010002326.1)". The record is from RNAcentral. Lineage: Eukaryota; Metazoa; Chordata; Aves; Galliformes; Phasianidae.
CUCAGCAGCUGCGCUAGGUAGGAUAUAAAAGAAGGUCUCAUUAUUAUAUAAACCCAAUAAGAAUACAUAGAAUACAGCAGUGUGACACAAGCAGUGCUUACAGACAGCAUCUCUGUUUCGUAACAGGUAUCCAUGUAUUUUCUCUUAGAUGCCAUAUACCAGAUUGACUUCUCCCUGGCAGUGACUGGCAUUUAGGGAGGAGUUAAAAAUUACUUCCUUCCCCCGCUUCAGCUUCAGUUCCUCCAGCAUGAACACAUAUAGACUAGGGCUUCAAAGGCUCCAGCAACAUUUCCAGAUGUCCUAGACACCACGUGGGUGUUAGUAAAACAAGGAGGACCAAAGAAGAGGUACCUAUCACUGAUAUAUUACUAUAUAUACUAUAUAUAUAUAUAUUGAUCGCUUCUUAUGCAAGUUUAUUGUUUACAGUUUUCACAUCAACUUAAACAUUCUUCAGUUAUCUGAAUGUAUGUAUGUAGGCAUUAUGUUACAAACUUUCCUUUUCUGAAGGAAACAUAAAUGUACAUAGAAAACCAUCAAGGCUGCAGACCCAAGCACUCAAAACCCAGGCGUACAGCAAACAAGUAAACAGAUUGUAAGGCAAAUAGGUAUACGGGUACAGGACCAGAGAGAUUACCACAUUACAAAGGCAUGAUGAAAUAAAGAGCUUACCCUGGUCGUGGGCUCACCAAAGGGCUCCAAGAGUCAGCCCUUACAUGGGGUCUUCCGGUCACUCAGGUGAAACUGUGUUCAACUGUGUCCUCUGCGGCUGACUCAGUGCUCGCCUCAGGUGGUCAAUCUGAGGUUCAGGCCACGAUUCAACAGUUGCCAUACACCGGGAAACGCCAGAAUUAAGUUGGCAUGGCAAAAGAAAAUAUUUUUCUCUUAAUUUCAUUCCCAGAAAUGGUGAAACCAUUUCUUUGUUUAAGCUUUCCAAACCAAUUCAUCUGAAGCAGACAUUCAGCAUGAAAAGUUUCAGCCCAAACAACUGAAACCUGACAAAGUUAGAUGCCACUGAAAAAAGGGUCUUAUCAUGGGAAACGUGAGGCAAGCUUAAUUCCAGGCAGCACUACCAGCAUCAUUUAAAACACAGUUACAAUCAAAAUUUCAUCCUGACUUUACCUUGUAUGUUUAGCUAUAUACUGUCGAGAAGGAUUUCAAACUGCCUACCUUUCUUACUGUGUUGGAGGCCCGGGGUCUUUGGCAGACUUGAUCAAAACUACAACACAGCUACUUACAUCAGGCAUCAGAAAGAGAAGCCAUUACUCAAAACAACCAUCUCAGAUGCAUGACACAAAGAAGAGGAAGCCACGAGUUUUCAGAGGGUCUCAGUACUCACAGAAGUUUCUACAGGUUCCAGUUCUUUGCAUACCUCAAUUAAAUGCUAACUGCUCUGUUGAAAUUAGCAGGUCUGCUUGAUGAUUACUGCCUGGCAUUUCACUAGGAAGUUAACUAGAUUCAAAACAUACCAUUUGCUGUGCUGCUGUCCAGGGCUGCCAUCGUCACCAGACUGCUCUGCAUUCUCACUGGCCCAGCUUCCUCUGUAGGCUCCUGCUGCACACACACUGCAUUCAGCUCCUAUUUUUGAUGCAGUCUAUAAAUUUAAACAUUAUUUGCAACGCUGCACUGACAGCCAGGUACCGAAUCACAAUCUCCAAUCAAUCAAUUUUCACCCAGAGGGUGGUGACACACCAAACAGGUUGCCCAAGGAGGUUGUGGAUGCCCCAUCGCUGGAGACACUCAAGGCCAGGCUGGAUGUGGCUCUGGGCAGCCUGGUCUGGUGGUUGGCGAUCCUGCACACAGCAGGGGUUGGAACUGGAUCAUCACUGUGGUCCUUUUUGACCCAGGCCAUUCUAUGACUCAACAUUUCACGGAUGACAAAGAGACGGAGGCACCAACCACAUCUCUGGGCAACCUGUUCCAAGGCCUCACCACCCCCACUGUAAAAGACUUUCCCUUACAUCCAAGCAAAGAUACAUAGGCAUCAAACCAAGCAUCAUAUGCAUCGAGAAAACAAUCUAAGGCUGCCCUCAAGAGCUAAACAUCACAGGUUUUACAGUGCCGUUUUUUCAGUGUUUUGGAUUUCAAACUGAUGUUGAGGUUUUAAACUUUGUGUGCGACAUUCUCAUGAAAAGAACCGAG